RNAcentral lists this unclassified non-coding RNA (1388 nucleotides) under uncultured Neocallimastigales. RNAcentral describes it as "partial contains small subunit ribosomal RNA, internal transcribed spacer 1, 5.8S ribosomal RNA, internal transcribed spacer 2, and large subunit ribosomal RNA". The stretch from base 624 to 1388 matches the Rfam family "Eukaryotic large subunit ribosomal RNA", at positions 1 to 628 of the family's 3401-position model. Lineage: Eukaryota; Fungi; Neocallimastigomycota; Neocallimastigomycetes; Neocallimastigales. The record is from RNAcentral.
UUCCGUAGGUGAACCUGCGGAAGGAUCAUUAAAAAAUGGUACUCUAUUUGUGAGUGCAUUAAUAAUCCAUCCUACCCUUUGUGAAUUUGUUGUAUGAAAUAAUUUUUUUUAAAAAAAAUUAUUGAAUGUCCUUACCCUGUUGAAAGUUUGGUCGUAAGACUUGGAUUUUUCUCAGGGAUAGUCAAUAAUUUUUUUAAAAAGACUUUUUUUGAAUAAAACUUUUCGUAUUCAUUUGUCUAAAUUAUUUUAUAAUAUAAAAACAACUUUUGGCAAUGGAUCUCUUGGUUCUCGCAACGAUGAAGAACGCAGCAAAAUGCGAUAAGUAGUGUGAAUUGCAGAAUACGUGAAUCAUCGAAUCUUCGAACGCAUAUUGCACUUUUUUAGUUUACUAAAAAAGUAUGUCUGUUUGAGUAUCAGUAAAAUAUUCUCAUAAAACUAUUGUUUUAUGGUUAUGAGCGUUUUACAACGAUAACAAGUUGUUUCACUUUAAAUUUUUUAAAAUUUGAAUUUUUCUAAUUUUAAAUUAAAAUCGGAUAAAUUUUCCUGUAAAAAGGAAUAAUUAAACAAUUUUAAAUUGAAUUUAGAAAAUCCAAAAUAAAGGAAGAUUUAUUUACAAAAUAACUUGAUCUCAAAUCAGAUAAGAGUACCCGCUGAACUUAAGCAUAUCAAUAAGCGGAGGAAAAGAAACUAACAAGGAUUCCCUUAGUAACGGCGAGUGAAGCGGGAAGAGCUCAAAUUUGAAAUCUUCAAGGUUUUACCUUGACGAAUUGUAGUUUAAAGAAGUGUUUUCUGUUGAAGUUUCGGUAAAAGUUCUUUGGAAUAGGACAUCAUAGAGGGUGAGAAUCCCGUAUUUGACCGUUAUUUUCAGCUGUGUGAUACACUUUCAAAGAGUCGGAUUGUUUGGGAAUGCAGUCCAAAAUGGGUGGUAAAUCUCAUCUAAAGCUAAAUAUUGGCGAGAGACCGAUAGCGAACAAGUACCGUGAGGGAAAGAUGAAAGAACUUUGAAAAGAGAGUUAAACAGUACGUGAAAUUGUCAAAAGGGAAGCGUUCGACACCAGUGUUGUUUUCUCGAAAAUCAAUUAAAAAGAGCUUGAUUUUGUGUUGUAUUGACCUUAAAGCUUUCUCACUUUUUCAUGCUUUUUUAAUGCACUUUUCGUUUAACAAGUCAACAUCAGUUUCUUUUGUUGUAAAAGGUCAUUGGAAGGUGGCUUUCUCUUCGGAGAAAGUGUUUAUGCCUUUGAUCUCUGCAAUCGGAGAGACUGAGGUCUGCAGCGUAGAUCCUUCGGGUUAGAUCAUUUGUGCUAAGCUAUAGCUUUUCAUAGACAACUGUUGACUAUGUUUAGUCUUGUACUUACCGCUUAUGCAUUUUACCUACGCUUAGGAUGUUG